RNAcentral lists this ribosomal RNA (427 nucleotides) under uncultured bacterium. RNAcentral's name for it is "partial 16S ribosomal RNA". It matches the Rfam family "Bacterial small subunit ribosomal RNA", at positions 355 to 774 of the family's 1533-position model. The record is from RNAcentral.
UGGGGAAUAUUGCACAAUGGGCGCAAGCCUGAUGCAGCCAUGCCGCGUGUAUGAAGAAGGCCUUCGGGUUGUAAAGUACUUUCAGCGGGGAGGAAGGCGAUAAGGUUAAUAACCUUGUCGAUUGACGUUACCCGCAGAAGAAGCACCGGCUAACUCCGUGCCAGCAGCCGCGGUAAUACGGAGGUUGCAAGCGUUAAUCGGAAUUACUGGGCGUAAAGCGCACGCAGGCGGUCUGUCAAGUCGGAUGUGAAAUCCCCGGGCUCAACCUGGGAACUGCAUUCGAAACUGGCAGGCUAGAGUCUUGUAGAGGGGGGUAGAAUUCCAGGUGUAGCGGUGAAAUGCGUAGAGAUCUGGAGGAAUACCGGUGGCGAAGGCGGCCCCCUGGACAAAGACUGACGCUCAGGUGCGAAAGCGUGGGGAGCAAACA